AGGGGAAUUGUGUAAUGGCAGCACGAAUGAUUCUGGUUCAUUUAGUCGGGGUUCGAGUCCCUGUUCCCCUG
Molecule: transfer RNA, 71 nt
Filed under: Planctomycetia bacterium
Lineage: Bacteria; Pseudomonadati; Planctomycetota; Planctomycetia
Description: tRNA-Gln
Rfam family: tRNA
About the family: Transfer RNA (tRNA) molecules are approximately 80 nucleotides in length. Their secondary structure includes four short double-helical elements and three loops (D, anti-codon, and T loops).
Source: RNAcentral